This 253-nucleotide ribosomal RNA is filed under the name uncultured bacterium. RNAcentral's name for it is "partial 16S ribosomal RNA". It matches the Rfam family "Bacterial small subunit ribosomal RNA", at positions 524 to 776 of the family's 1533-position model. The record is from RNAcentral.
UACGAAGGGGGCUAGCGUUGCUCGGAAUCACUGGGCGUAAAGGGUGCGUAGGCGGGUCUUUAAGUCAGGGGUGAAAUCCUGGAGCUCAACUCCAGAACUGCCUUUGAUACUGAGGAUCUUGAGUCCGGGAGAGGUGAGUGGAACUGCGAGUGUAGAGGUGAAAUUCGUAGAUAUUCGCAAGAACACCAGUGGCGAAGGCGGCUCACUGGCCCGGUACUGACGCUGAGACGCGAAAGCGUGGGGAGCGAACAGG